Molecule: ribosomal RNA, 253 nt
Filed under: uncultured bacterium
Lineage: Bacteria
Description: partial 16S ribosomal RNA
Rfam family: Bacterial small subunit ribosomal RNA
Source: RNAcentral
UACGAAGGUGGCAAGCGUUACUCGGAAUUACUAGGCGUAAAGGGCAUGUAGGCGGUUUGAUAAGUCUUUUGUGAAAGCUCCCGGCUUAACCGGGAGAGGUCAAGAGAUACUGUCGGACUUGAGUAUGGGAGAGGGUACUGGAAUUCCUGGUGUAGCGGUGAAAUGCGCAGAUAUCAGGAGGAACACCGAUGGCGAAAGCAGGUACCUGGACCAUUACUGACGCUCAGGUGCGAAAGCUAGGGGAGCAAACAGG